Molecule: ribosomal RNA, 465 nt
Filed under: Vreelandella stevensii
Lineage: Bacteria; Pseudomonadati; Pseudomonadota; Gammaproteobacteria; Oceanospirillales; Halomonadaceae
Description: partial 16S ribosomal RNA
Rfam family: Bacterial small subunit ribosomal RNA
Source: RNAcentral
CCUACGGGGGGCUGUAGUGGGGAAUAUUGGACAAUGGGGGGAACCCUGAUCCAGCCAUGCCGCGUGUGUGAAGAAGGCCCUCGGGUUGUAAAGCACUUUCAGUGAGGAAGAACGCCUGGUGGUUAAUACCCAUCAGGAAAGACAUCACUCACAGAAGAAGCACCGGCUAACUCCGUGCCAGCAGCCGCGGUAAUACGGAGGGUGCGAGCGUUAAUCGGAAUUACUGGGCGUAAAGCGCGCGUAGGUGGCUUGAUAAGCCGGUUGUGAAAGCCCCGGGCUCAACCUGGGAACGGCAUCCGGAACUGUCAAGCUAGAGUGCAGGAGAGGAAGGUAGAAUUCCCGGUGUAGCGGUGAAAUGCGUAGAGAUCGGGAGGAAUACCAGUGGCGAAGGCGGCCUUCUGGACUGACACUGACACUGAGGUGCGAAAGCGUGGGUAGCAAACAGGAUUAGAUACCCCAGUAGUC